This 781-nucleotide ribosomal RNA is filed under the name uncultured Neocallimastigales. RNAcentral's name for it is "partial large subunit ribosomal RNA". It matches the Rfam family "Eukaryotic large subunit ribosomal RNA", at positions 18 to 631 of the family's 3401-position model. Lineage: Eukaryota; Fungi; Neocallimastigomycota; Neocallimastigomycetes; Neocallimastigales. The record is from RNAcentral.
UCAGACGAUGCGUCAUGCAUAUCAAUAAGCGGAGGAAAAGAAACUAACAAGGAUUCCCUUAGUAACGACGAGUGAAGCGGGAAGAGCUCAAAUUUGAAAUCUUCAAGGUUUUACCUUGACGAAUUGUAGUUUAAAGAAGUGUUUUCUGCUGAAGUUUUGGUAAAAGUUCUUUGGAAUAGGACAUCAUAGAGGGUGAGAAUCCCGUAUUUGACCAUUAUUUUCAGCUGUGUGAUACACUUUCAAAGAGUCGGAUUGUUUGGGAAUGCAGUCCAAAAUGGGUGGUAAAUUUCAUCCUAAAGCUAAAUAUUGGCGAGAGACCGAUAGCGAACAAGUACCGUGAGGGAAAGAUGAAAAGAACUUUGAAAAGAGAGUUAAACAGUACGUGAAAUUGUCAAAAGGGAAGCGUUUGACACCAGUGUUGUUUUCUCGAAAAUCAAUUAAAAAUGAGUUAGAUUUUGUAUGUGUAUUGACCUUAACAGCUUGCACUGUACAUUUUUCGUGUGUCUUUUUUAAUGCACUUUUCGUUUAACAAGUCAACAUCAGUUUCUUUUGUUGUAAAAAGGUCAUUGGAAGGUGGCUUUCUUUUCGGAGAAAGUGUUUAUAGCCUUUGACUCCUGCAAUCGGAGAGACUGAGGUCUGCAGCGUAGAUCCUUCGGGGUUAGAUACAUUUGUGCUAAGUUAUAGCUUUUUAUAGACAACUUGUUGACUAUGAUUAGUCUUGUAGCUUACUCGCUUAUGCUAUUUUACCUACGCUUAGGAUGUUGAGUCGUAGAGCACGCAG